Molecule: ribosomal RNA, 308 nt
Filed under: uncultured bacterium
Lineage: Bacteria
Description: bacterial SSU rRNA
Rfam family: Bacterial small subunit ribosomal RNA
Source: RNAcentral
AUUGAACGCUGACGGAAUGCUUUACACAUGCAAGUCGAACGGCAGCACGGGAGCUUGCUCCUGGUGGCGAGUGGCGAACGGGUGAGUAACAUAUCGGAACAUGUCCAAUAAUGGGGGAUAACUACCCGAAAGGAUAGCUAAUACCGCAUACGCCCUGAGGGGGAAAGCGGGGGAUCGUAAGACCUCGCGUUAAUGGAGUGACCGAUAUCUGAUUAGCUAGUUGGUGAGGAAAGGCUCACCAAGGCGACGAUCAGUAGCUGGUCUGAGAGGACGACCAGCCACACUGGAACUGAGACACGGUCCAGACU